UCCAGAGGCAACUUUUGGAACUCACUCUGCCCACAAAGAUGGAGUAGUGUCUGGUGCUUAACGGAACACCAGAUGCUUUUGAUAGGCCAUCACAGCAAGAUCUGAGGAAGAGCUUCCUCUGUUCCCAAAGGAUCCCUUUUACAGUUCUCACAACCUGACCCCAGCAUCCCUGGGAAUGCCGACUGACAGCUGCAUGGAGUGUAGCCACAGCAGCCCUGUCGGGUGCCAGCUGGACGUGCCUGGCCGCCACCCGGGGAUGUCAGAGCAGAGCUGCAGGCCACCCUUCCGCCAGCAGGAAGCCCAGCCGCAAACACUUGGACAGGAAGCCUGUGUGCUGGCCAGCUGAGCCAGCUCUGGUUUCUCUUGUGUCUGAGGGUUUGGCCUCUGGGUAGAAGAAAGCGAGCCAGGUGCUGAGGACUGCUCUGACGGGGCCAUGGCCUCCCUCCACGCCCCCCCCCCCCCCAGCUUGGGUUGCGGGUUCAAGGGUGUAAGCCGAAAAGCAUCAUCCAAGCGGAGGCAGAAGGGGUGUUUCCUGGAGGCAGGGUGAGGGAGCAGGGAACAUGCUGUUUACCAGGACUGGGCCAGCUGGCUGAGGCUACACUGCGAACCCUUUGUGCUGGCUCCAGGCGAGAUGGGGUUGAUGGUUCAGCCCUGAAGUGCAAACCCAAGUUACUUCCCACUUCCCAGCUGCGUCUGCCUCUGGGAACCCACACUGGAGUCUCUCUCAG
RNAcentral lists this long non-coding RNA (728 nucleotides) under Rattus norvegicus (Norway rat). RNAcentral's name for it is "long non-coding RNA NONRATT006664". Lineage: Eukaryota; Metazoa; Chordata; Mammalia; Rodentia; Muridae. The record is from RNAcentral.